This 31-nucleotide non-coding RNA is filed under the name Mus musculus (house mouse). Lineage: Eukaryota; Metazoa; Chordata; Mammalia; Rodentia; Muridae. The record is from RNAcentral.
AAAGGGUGAAGCUUUAUACUCUCAGUGUCUG